This 1386-nucleotide ribosomal RNA is filed under the name uncultured bacterium. Its description in RNAcentral is "partial 16S ribosomal RNA". It matches the Rfam family "Bacterial small subunit ribosomal RNA". The record is from RNAcentral.
GUUUGAUCCUGGCUCAGGAUGAACGCUUUCUACAGGCUUAACACAUGCAAGUCGAGCGGUAUGUGCUUUAGUGCAUACAGCGGCAGACGGGUGAGUAACACGUAUCUAACCUUCCCCUUACUUGGGCAUAGCCUCUGGAAACGGAGAUUAAUUUCCGAUGUGGUGUACAUUUCGCAUGUUUUGCGCACCAAAGAUUUAUCGGUAAGGGAUGGGGAUGCGCUCCAUUAGGUUGUAGGUAGGGUAAUGGCCUACCUAGCCUAUGAUGGAUAGGGGUUCUGAGAGGAAGGUCCCCCACAUUGGAACUGCGACACGGUCCAAACUCCUACGGGAGGCAGCAGUGAGGAAUAUUGGUCAAUGGCCGGAAGGCUGAACCAGCCAAGUAGCGUGCAGGAUGACUGCCUUAUGGGUUGUAAACUGCUUUUUUACGGGAAUAAUUAUGAUCACGUGUGAUUAUUUGCAUGUACCGUAAGAAUAAGGAUCGGCUAACUCCGUGCUAGCAGCCGCGGUAAUACGGAGGAUCCUAGUGUUAUCCGGAUUUAUUGGGUUUAAAGGGUGCGUAGGCGGAAAUGUAAGUCAGUGGUGAAAUCCUGCAGCUUAACUGUAGAAUAGCCGUUGAAACUGUGUUUCUUGAGUACAUUUGAGGUAGGCGGAAUGUGGUGUGUAGCGGUGAAAUGCAUAGAUAUACCACAGAACACCGAUUGCGAAGGCAGCUUACUAAACUGUCACUGACGCUGAUGCACGAAAGCGUGGGUAUCAAACAGGAUUAGAUACCCUGGUAGUCCACGCUGUAAACGAUGAGUGCUAGGUGUUGGGGGUCAAACCUCGGUGCCGCAGUUAACGCAUUAAGCACUCCGCCUGGGGAGUACGUUCGCAAGAAUAAAACUCAAAGGAAUUGACGGGGACCCGCACAAGCAGCGGAGCAUGUGGUUUAAUUCGAAGCAACGCGAAGAACCUUACCUGGAUUUGACAUCCCUCUGACCGUCUCUUAAUCGAGAUUUUCCCUUCGGGGACAGAGGAGACAGGUGGUGCAUGGUUGUCGUCAGCUCGUGUCGUGAGAUGUUGGGUUAAGUCCCGCAACGAGCGCAACCCUUGUCUUUAGUUACCAUCAUUAAGUUGGGGACUCUGGAAGGACCGCUGCGGUAACAACGCAGAGGAAGAUGGGGACGAUGUCAAGCAAUCAUGGUCCUUAUGACCGGGGCUACACACGUGCUACAAUGGCAGUUACAGAGGGAAGCGAAGCUGUAAAGUGGAGCGAAUCUCAUAAAAGCUGCCUCAGUUCGGAUUGAGGUCUGCAACUCGACCUCAUGAAGUUGGAAUCGCUAGUAAUCGCGCAACAUCAUGGCGCGGUGAAUACGUUCCCGGGCCUUGUACACACCGCCCGUCAAG